Molecule: ribosomal RNA, 351 nt
Filed under: Talaromyces sp. BAB-3851
Lineage: Eukaryota; Fungi; Ascomycota; Eurotiomycetes; Eurotiales; Trichocomaceae
Description: eukaryotic LSU rRNA
Rfam family: 5.8S ribosomal RNA (bases 19-134)
Source: RNAcentral
AUGCGAUACUUGGUGUGAAUGCAGAAUUCAGUAUGCGAUACUUGGUGUGAAUUGCAGAAUUCCGUGAAUCAUCGAAUCUUUGAACGCACAUUGCGCCCCCUGGCAUUCCGGGGGGCAUGCCUGUCCGAGCGUCAUUUCUGCCCUCAAGCACGGCUUGUGUGUUGGGUGUGGUCCCCCUGGGGACCUGCCUGAAAGGCAGUGGCGACGCCCGCCUAGGUCCUCGAGCGUAUGGGGCUUUGUCACCCGCUCGGGAAGGAUCUACGGGCGUUGGUCUUCCAUAUCUUUUUCCACGGUUGACCUCGGAUCAGGUAGGAGUUACCCGCUGAACUUAAGCAUAUCAAUAAGCGGAGG